GUUUUACACUAGCUUCGGCAGCACAUACACUAAAAUGGGAACAAUACAGAGAAAAUUAGCACAGCCCCUACACAAGGAUGACACGCAAAUUUAUAAAGCAUUCCAUAUUUUU
Papio anubis (olive baboon) is the source of this 112-nucleotide small nuclear RNA. The record is from Ensembl. Lineage: Eukaryota; Metazoa; Chordata; Mammalia; Primates; Cercopithecidae.